This is a small nuclear RNA of Mastomys coucha (southern multimammate mouse), 161 nucleotides long. RefSeq annotates it as U1 spliceosomal RNA. The transcript has a single exon. The record is from RefSeq and is a predicted model, not a curated record. Lineage: Eukaryota; Metazoa; Chordata; Mammalia; Rodentia; Muridae.
AUAGUUACAUGAUAGGACAGAUGACAUGAUCCCAAAGGCAGUUUUAACUGGAAGAGGUUUAUCCAUUUCACUCUGGAUGUGUUGACCCUGAGAUUUCCCCCAAAGUAGGAAACUCAACUUCAUAAUUCCUGGUAAUAAGGACUGUGCCCAUGCUCUCCCCA